This 69-nucleotide transfer RNA is filed under the name Scarites buparius. Its description in RNAcentral is "tRNA-Glu". Lineage: Eukaryota; Metazoa; Arthropoda; Insecta; Coleoptera; Carabidae. The record is from RNAcentral.
AUUUAUAUAGUUUAAAUAUAAAACAUUACAUUUUCACUGUAAAAAUAAAAUUCUUUAUUUUUAUAAAUA